RNAcentral lists this ribosomal RNA (393 nucleotides) under uncultured bacterium. RNAcentral's name for it is "partial 16S ribosomal RNA". It matches the Rfam family "Bacterial small subunit ribosomal RNA", at positions 523 to 918 of the family's 1533-position model. The record is from RNAcentral.
AUAGAGAGGAUGCGAGCGUUAUCCGGAUUUAUUGGGUUUAAAGGGAGCGUAGGUGGGAUAUUAAGUCAGCUGUGAAAGUUUGGGGCUCAACCUUAAAAUUGCAGUUGAUACUGGUUGCCUUGAGUACGGUACAGGUGGGCGGAAUUCGUGGUGUAGCGGUGAAAUGCUUAGAUAUCACGAAGAACUCCGAUCGCGAAGGCACAUCGCCGGGCCGGAACUGACACGUACGCCCGAAAGUGCGGGUAUCAAACAGGAUCAGAUACCCUGGUAGUCCGCACAGUAAACCACGAACACUCGCUGUUUGCGAUACACUGUAAGCCGCUAAGCGAAAGCGUUAAGUAUUCCACCCGGGGAGUACGCCGCUAACGGUGAAACUCCAAUGAUUUGACGGGG